AUUGAACGCUGGCGGCAGGCCUAACACAUGCAAGUCGAACGAGAGGCGGACGGGUGAGUAAUGUAUGUGAAACUGCCCGAUGGAGGGGGAUAACUACUGGAAACGGUAGCUAAUACCGCAUACCAUCAGAUGUGCCCAGAUGGGAUUAGAUUGGUGGUGGGGUAACGGCUCACCAAGGCGACGAUCCCUAGCUGGUCUGAGAGGAGGACCAGCCACACUGGGACUGAGACACGGCCCAGACUCCUACGGGAGGCAGCAGUGGGGAAUAUUGCACAAUGGGCGCAAGCCUGAUGCAGCCAUGCCGCGUGUAUGAUGAAGGCCUUCGGGUUGUAAAGUACUUUCAGCGGGGAGGCGUUACCCGCAGAAUAAGCACCGGCUAACUCCGUGCCAGCAGCCGCGGUAAUUC
Molecule: ribosomal RNA, 406 nt
Filed under: uncultured bacterium
Lineage: Bacteria
Description: partial 16S ribosomal RNA
Rfam family: Bacterial small subunit ribosomal RNA
Source: RNAcentral